Molecule: RNA transcript, 3031 nt
Organism: Pimephales promelas (fathead minnow)
Lineage: Eukaryota; Metazoa; Chordata; Actinopteri; Cypriniformes; Leuciscidae
Gene: tardbpb
Gene name: TAR DNA binding protein b
Source: RefSeq, a predicted model, not a curated record
UCAUGACUAUGUGAUGCCAUCUUGCUACGAAAAUAGUGUCGCAUGAGUUGUAUGAUACGGAAUAUUAUUGUCUUACUUUGAUAUACAAAUACGGCGUUAUUUUGUAUUAUUCGUAUUAGACUAGAAACGAACACUGUUCAGAGUAUCGUUCUCCGUGAGCGUUGUGUUUACUGGUUCAUUCAUUGAUCCUAACAGUCACAUUUCUUUUUCUGAACGAGGAGCGUGGUGGCGCUAACAAAGGAAUAUCUGGAUCCGAGCAGUUGUUCAUUGGGAAGGGGCGUGGUCGUUCCGCGGUCCAACCAAUGAUAUUGAUCCUUCACAGCCCGGACUUGAUUGCUAUUGGUUCACUAUAGACAGUCAGUCUUUGAAGACAGGAUAACAGUCGAAGAUACCCCCACCAGAACAAUUCGAUCAAAACAAUUCUUUCACGAUGGAAGAAUCGCCACAAAUUACAUUUACUUACCAACAGCUCGACUCAGGAGAGAUGGCCGAGAUGUACAUUCGCGUCGCGGAGGAGGAGAACGAGGAGCCGAUGGAGAUCCCGUCGGAGGACGACGGCACGGUGCUGCUGUCCACGGUGGCCGCUCAGUUUCCAGGGGCUUGUGGCCUGCGCUUCCGGAGCCCGGUGUCUCAGUGUAUGAGGGGGGUUCGCUUGGUGGAAGGAAUCCUGCACGCCCCCGAGAACGGCUGGGGAAACCUGGUCUAUGUGGUCAAUUACCCCAAGGAAACGGCUCUGCCAGAUAAUAAGAGGAAGAUGGAUGAGAUUGAUGCUUCUUCUGCAACAAAGAUCAAGAGAGGAGAUCAGAAGACUUCAGAUCUGAUUGUGUUGGGUCUGCCAUGGAAAACUACAGAACAAGACUUAAAAGAAUACUUCAGUACGUUUGGAGAAGUCAUCAUGGUGCAGGUCAAGCGGGACGUAAAGACGGGAAAUUCAAAGGGGUUUGGGUUUGUAAGGUUUGGUGACUGGGAGACUCAGGGUAAGGUGAUGUCGCAGCGGCACAUGAUUGACGGCAGGUGGUGUGACUGCAAACUACCCAACUCUAAGCAAGGUCCAGAUGAACCAAUGAGGAGCAGGAAAGUAUUUGUGGGCCGUUGCACAGAGGACAUGAGCGCUGAUGAGCUCCGUCAGUUCUUCAUGCAAUAUGGGGAGGUCACAGAUGUCUUCAUACCUAAACCAUUCAGAGCGUUCGCUUUCGUCACCUUUGCAGAUGACCAGGUUGCCGCUUCCCUGUGUGGAGAAGAUCUGAUCAUCAAGGGCAUCAGCGUGCACAUCUCCAAUGCUGAGCCAAAACACAACAACACUAGGCAGAUGAUGGAGCGGGCAGGGCGCUUUGGGAAUGGGUUCGGAGGUCAGGGUUUUGGAGCCAACCGCAGUGGCAUGGGUGGUAGUAGCUCCAGCAGCUUGGGAAAUUUCAACAAUUUCAAUCUCAACCCAGCCAUGAUGGCUGCCGCCCAGGCCGCCCUGCAGAGCAGUUGGGGUAUGAUGGGAAUGUUAGCACAGCAGAAUCAGUCAGGUGCGUCUGGCACUAGCACGAGCGGCACUAGCGCCCCUCGGGACCAGCCCCAAGCGUACAGCUCAGGGAACAGCAACUACAGCAGCUCGGCUGCUCUCGGCUGGGGCUCCGGCUCGAACUCCACCACAGGUGGUAGUGGGUUUAACUCCAGCUUUGGCUCUGGUAUGGAGUCUAAGUCGUCAGGGUGGGGUAUGUAAAUUGGUUUGUGUUUGAAGUGUUGUAUUUCUAGCGCGUUUGGUAAGUAUUUUCCGAGAGACUUAUCUUGUCACGUGUGUUUGGGAGCGGGGAUGGGUGAAAAGGGAGACAGGGGGGCAAAAAAAGACGAAUGUUUUUUACUUUGAAUGGAAUUUAAAUUAGUUUAGAGUGAGAUGUUAACCAAGGAGCUACGUUAAUGUACCAUCUUUGGAAUUAUGUUUUUUUCCCCCCCAAUGUUGUAUUGUCUUGGUCGAUGCAAACUAAGCAUUUCAACUGGAUUCUUGUAAUGCAUGCUGUUCAAUCUGUGGAUGUCUGAAAAUGCAUGAGAAUUGCAUAACCCUUAAAGUACAUUUAUCAUUAUUUAAAGACAUUUGCAUUGGAAAGAAUCUGGUUGAAACCUGAACAUAUUGUAAAUUGAGCUUUAUGAUUCAGUCCAGUUUUAUGGAAACCCUUUAAAACAAGCCUUCAUCAAAAUCUCUUCUGCAGUUGACAUCUGUGGGGUUUGCCAGGGAAGAGCGCCCUCUAUGGCAGCACAGUGUGGCUGAGGUCAUUAUGUCACCUUCCUCCCCAUGUCUAUAUGCUCUCAUCGCACGGCUCGAUGACACGGGGCCUGGAAUAUGGCUGGUCGCAACUGAACCCUAGGCGGGAAGUCCGUUUGGGGAUGGAGGAAGAUGAUGGAGGAUGCUGUGGUUCUGCAUCUCUGGUUACGGCAAUGGACACGGUAGACCGUAGCAGAAUUUGAUAGGUGCUUCCAGAUGAGGUGUUAACUCAAAACACUUCAAGCAUAAUAACAUUUCUAUCUGAAAAGCUGAGAUGGUAUUAGGCUUGAUUGUGUUUGGUUUUGAGAAAGCAGUUUGUUGUAUUCUAAUGCAGGCAUAGGUUUUUCAGGUCCAUGUUUUUUUUUUUUAAAUGUUUGAAUUAAAAUAUUUUAGAGCAUCUGUAUUGUUUCACAGAGUUUCAUAUUCCCAAGAAAGUCGUGUUUAUAGGAAUCUUUAUUACAAUAAAACACAAAUGAACUCCCUGAGUAUAAAAACAUUAUUGGUGUUAAGUAUUUAAUGUGAUUUAUGUACAAAUAUUUGCACAGCUGUUUUAUUACAUGCAAAAAACAAGUACUUUUGUGCAACUUAAAAAAAAAUGUGAAUUUCGUACAUUUCUUUUGAUCAGUCUUCAACCUCGUUCUCCUCCUCAGCUUCCAUGUCUUUACUCUUCCUCUUGGCAGCGUUCUUCUUUCGUUUCUCCUUCAAUUCUUGGUUGUUCAAAGCCAGUUCUUCACUUUUCUUCGUAAUGUAGUUGUACUGUAAGGAUAAAGCAAGUGCACAGUA